UCUAGGCCCCGUCAGGAGCCCGAGUUGUAAUUUGGAGAGGACACUUCGGGUGCCUCGUAACGGCGAGUGAAGCGGCAAAAGCUCAAAUUUGAAAUCUGGCCCUUUCAGGGUCCGAGUUGUAAUUUGCAGAGGAUGCUUCGGGAGCGGCGGUGGUCUAAGUCCCCUGGAACGGGGCGUCGCAGAGGGUGAGAAUCCCGUCUUGGACCGCAUGCCCGUGACCGUGUGAAGCUCCUUCGACGAGUCGAGUUGUUUGGGAAUGCAGCUCAAAAUGGGUGGUAAAUUUCAUCUAAAGCUAAAUACUGGCUGGAGACCGAUAGCGCACAAGUAGAGUGAUCGAAAGGUUAAAAGCACCUUGAAAAGGGAGUUAAAUAGCACGUGAAAUUGUUGAAAGGGAAGCGCUUGCAACCAGACUCGGCCGCAGAGGCUCAGCGGGCACGUGUGCCCGUGCACUCCUCUGUGGCCGGGCCAGCAUCAGUUCUGACGGCCGGUCAAAGGCCCCUGGAAUGUAUCCUCCUCCGGGAGGUCUUAUAGCCAGGGGUGCAAUGCGGCCAGUUGGGACUGAGGAACGCGCUUCGGCACGGAUGCUGGCGUAAUGGUUGUAAGCGACCCGUCUUGAAAC
Molecule: ribosomal RNA, 619 nt
Filed under: Gymnascella dankaliensis
Lineage: Eukaryota; Fungi; Ascomycota; Eurotiomycetes; Onygenales; Gymnoascaceae
Description: eukaryotic LSU rRNA
Rfam family: Eukaryotic large subunit ribosomal RNA
Source: RNAcentral